AUUGGAAGAAAUUACUAAGGAUGGGUAAACCUUACACAGAAGAGUUGGCAUUUUUGCGUUACACCAAAUAAGGGAGCCCACAGGGAGUCUGUGAAGUUUUUAUAAGAGGCCUGUGAAAAUUUACCUGUGAAAAUUCAGGGAGUUUUGAUUUGCUUUGUAAAGCUCUGCUCUUCUGCUGGGACAAAAGAAAAAAAAGAAAAGAAAACUAGGAGCCUGCAAAAAAAGUAUAUGUUUAUGCUGUAAAUGACUGCAUGCUAACACCUCUGUAGUCAGUUCAGGAAAGGGAUCUUUUCACAAGGUGGGAAACAGUCCAAAUUCAGCCCUAAUUCAGUCCCUUAUGGUAUACAGAACUUGGUAGAAGGAAAUAAAGGAGAACUGCAUCAGCACCCCAGGAAAAAAAAAAAAAAGAGGUAUUGUUCUCCUUUCCCUUUACAUCUGUUCCCUAGCCUUUAAUCAUCCAUUAUCAGCUAUAGUUCUGCUAUGAUUAUUAUCAGAUAUCUAUUUCAGUGAGUAUAGCGUAAUGGUAAUGAAUAAUCUGGAUCUAUUGUUUAAGCAACUGUUAAUGAUUCUACUCAAUGUCUAAAUGAAAACAAAAUUUUUUCUGUUCCUUCAAGCAGGAUUAUUUAUUUUAUAUAUGUUAUAGAUAAAUGUUUA
This 654-nucleotide long non-coding RNA is filed under the name Numida meleagris (helmeted guineafowl). RNAcentral's name for it is "lncRNA (ENSNMEG00000001815.1)". Lineage: Eukaryota; Metazoa; Chordata; Aves; Galliformes; Numididae. The record is from RNAcentral.